ACUGGAGGGUAUUCCCUCCAGUAUACCAAGUUGAGCAUCUUUUUUCUCAUUCCUUCCGGAAUGGCCUAAAAAUCAAAAUCUUAUCAACUACGUUAUAAGAACCUUAAUUUCUCAGCUUGGCAGGACUACCCGCUGAACUUAAGCAUAUCAAUAAGCGGAGGAAAAGAAACCAACAGGGAUUGCCUCAGUAACGGCGAGUGAAGCGGCAAAAGCUCAAAUUUGAAAGCUUCGGCAUUGUAAUUUCAAGGAGGAGAAACAACUAUGAAGAAAAAGUUCAUUGGAAAAUGACGCCUUAGAGGGUGACAGCCCCGUAUCUUUUUGUUACUUUUCUCCUCCAAAGAGUCGAGUUGUUUGGGAAUGCAGCUCUAAUGGGUGGUAAAUUCCAUCUAAAGCUAAAUACUGGCGAGAGACCGAUAGCGAACAAGUACAGUGAUGGAAAGAUGAAAAGCACUUUGAAAAGAGAGUGAAAAAGUACGUGAAAUUGUUGGAAGGGAAGGGCUUGCAAGCAGACACGGUCUAACCGGGCCAGCAUCGUGUGCUCAGGUGUCAUAAAUCCAAAAGAAUGUAAGCUUCGGUGGUUAUAUCUUUCGGCAAUAGCACCCCGGGCGCACGAGGACCGCUAAUAGGAUGCUGGCGUAAUGGUUGCAAGCCGCCCGUCUUGAAACACGGACCAAGGAGUCUAACGUCCAUGCAAGUGUUUGGGUGUAAAACCCCAGCGCGGAAUGAAAGUAAAUGGUACGACCUCGCAAGAGGGCAGCACCGACCGACCUUGAAGUGCUCGGAUAGGUUUGAG
RNAcentral lists this ribosomal RNA (793 nucleotides) under Australozyma picinguabensis. Its description in RNAcentral is "LSU rRNA". The stretch from base 107 to 793 matches the Rfam family "Eukaryotic large subunit ribosomal RNA", at positions 1 to 794 of the family's 3401-position model. The record is from RNAcentral. Lineage: Eukaryota; Fungi; Ascomycota; Pichiomycetes; Serinales; Metschnikowiaceae.